CAGUAGCCGCGGUAAUACGAAGGGUGCAAGCGUUUAUCGGAAUUACUGGGCGUAAAGCGUGCGUAGGCGGUGAGUUAAGUCUGCUGUGAAAUCCCCGGGCUCAACCUGGGAAUGGCAGUGGAUACUGGCUCGCUAGAGUGUGUCAGAGGAUGGUGGAAUUCCCGGUGUAGCGGUGAAAUGCGUAGAGAUCGGGAGGAACAUCAGUGGCGAAGGCGGCCAUCUGGGACAACACUGACGCUGAGGCACGAAAGCGUGGGAAGCAAACAGGAUUAGAUACCCCAGUAGUCCCUGUCUCUUAUAC
This 301-nucleotide ribosomal RNA is filed under the name uncultured bacterium. RNAcentral's name for it is "partial 16S ribosomal RNA". It matches the Rfam family "Bacterial small subunit ribosomal RNA", at positions 509 to 807 of the family's 1533-position model. The record is from RNAcentral.